UUUAUCAUCAUCUAAAGUCUUAUUUGGGCAGUUAGCUAUAACUAUUGUUUUAUUUGGCUUGUAUAUUUUCAUGUUUACAGGACUUCCCAACCCAUUGAACAUGAAACUUCACUGCAAUCAAUGGUAUUCCAACUAGCGGCCCAUCCACCCUUCCCAGCAUCUGAUAAGGGUUGGGGUAAAGAAUUAGG
Molecule: long non-coding RNA, 188 nt
Organism: Prunus dulcis (almond)
Lineage: Eukaryota; Viridiplantae; Streptophyta; Magnoliopsida; Rosales; Rosaceae
Exons: 3
Source: RefSeq, a predicted model, not a curated record